RNAcentral lists this ribosomal RNA (423 nucleotides) under uncultured bacterium. Its description in RNAcentral is "bacterial SSU rRNA". It matches the Rfam family "Bacterial small subunit ribosomal RNA", at positions 360 to 773 of the family's 1533-position model. The record is from RNAcentral.
AAUUUUGGACAAUGGGCGCAAGCCUGAUCCAGCAAUGCCGCGUGAGUGAAGAAGGCCUUCGGGUUGUAAAGCUCUUUUGUCAGGGAAGAAACGGCUGGGGCUAAUAUCCCCGGCUAAUGACGGUACCUGAAGAAUAAGCACCGGCUAACUACGUGCCAGCAGCCGCGGUCAUACGUAGGACCCAAGCGUUAUCCGGAGUGACUGGGCGUAAAGAGUUGCGUAGGUGGUUAGUAAAGUGAAUAGUGAAACCUGGUGGCUCAACCAUACAGACUAUUAUUCAAACUCACUAACUCGAGAGUAGCAGAGGUAACUGGAAUUUCUUGUGUAGGAGUGAAAUCCGUAGAUAUAAGAAGGAACACCAAUGGCGUAGGCAGGUUACUGGGCUAUUUCUGACACUGAGGCACGAAAGCGUGGGGAGCGAAC